RNAcentral lists this long non-coding RNA (540 nucleotides) under Elaeis guineensis (African oil palm). Its description in RNAcentral is "long non-coding RNA (EGUI_LNC060480)". The record is from RNAcentral. Lineage: Eukaryota; Viridiplantae; Streptophyta; Magnoliopsida; Arecales; Arecaceae.
GAUCACACUCUAACUUCGCAAGUACUUAACUGUGCCCAGAAGCCUUCCAUCCCUGAAUUAGAAAUUCAGUUAGUCCAGUACCAAAGUACAGUGAGUUGCUUGCAAGUCACUGAGGCGAUCUCAAGUCUAAGGGACACUUAUACCUAUAUCCCAUCAGAGAUAUUCUCGACAGUAGAAUACUCUGGAGUUGGUCACGUUCAAUGAUGAUGUACCAGUACAUCUCACCUGUAUGCCAUACCAGUGUCUCCACACUCUUUGGUUAAGAGGACAACCAACCCAUAUGGCCUACAGCGACCUAUGCUCGAUAGAAGCUGUCGUCCUUAUUAACAGUCUAUCAUUUGAUCGUGAACUGUUUUAAGGACUAAUCGAUAAAUCCUCUCUUUAUCGAACUUAAAUAGUUCUAAGGACUUCAUCAUAACAACGGUGUUCAUUAGAAGAUGAAAGCUUAUGAUGAAGAUGCCAAAUAUAUUUUAUUUAUUAAUAAAUCAAUUACAAUACUUGAUUGCUCAACAGUCAACAGCUUGACGAUUGGCUUUUGGG